RNAcentral lists this ribosomal RNA (497 nucleotides) under uncultured bacterium. Its description in RNAcentral is "partial 16S ribosomal RNA". It matches the Rfam family "Bacterial small subunit ribosomal RNA", at positions 28 to 507 of the family's 1533-position model. The record is from RNAcentral.
GAUGAACGCUGGCGGCGUGCCUAAUACAUGCCAGUCGAGCGAACAGAUAAGGAGCUUGCUCCUUUGACGUUAGCGGCGGACGGGUGAGUAACACGUGGGUAACCUACCUAUAAGACUGGAAUAACUCCGGGAAACCGGGGCUAAUGCCGGAUAACAUUUAGAACCGCAUGGUUCUAAAGUGAAAGAUGGUUUUGCUAUCACUUAUAGAUGGACCCGCGCCGUAUUAGCUAGUUGGUAAGGUAACGGCUUACCAAGGCAACGAUACGUAGCCGACCUGAGAGGGUGAUCGGCCACACUGGAACUGGGACACGGUCCAGACUCCUACGGGAGGCAGCAGUAGGGAAUCUUCCGCAAUGGGCGAAAGCCUGACGGAGCAACGCCGCGUGAGUGAUGAAGGUCUUCGGAUCGUAAAACUCUGUUAUUAGGGAAGAACAAAUGUGUAAGUAACUGUGCACGUCUUGACGGUACCUAAUCAGAAAGCCACGGCUAACUACGUG